Non-coding RNA from Rhodofomes roseus, 84 nucleotides. NCBI's taxonomy places the organism in Eukaryota, Fungi, Basidiomycota, Agaricomycetes, Polyporales, Fomitopsidaceae. The record is from the annotation of a RefSeq genome assembly.
GGCUUCGUGGUCUAGUAGUAUGAUUCCUUCUUAGGGUUGUUAAUCACGUGGAGGAGGUCCCGGGUUCAAUUCCCGGCGAAGCCC